RNAcentral lists this ribosomal RNA (504 nucleotides) under Botryosphaeria dothidea. RNAcentral's name for it is "eukaryotic LSU rRNA". The stretch from base 178 to 331 matches the Rfam family "5.8S ribosomal RNA". Lineage: Eukaryota; Fungi; Ascomycota; Dothideomycetes; Botryosphaeriales; Botryosphaeriaceae. The record is from RNAcentral.
GAGUUGAUUCGGGCUCCGGCCCGAUCCUCCCACCCUUUGUGUACCUACCUCUGUUGCUUUGGCGGGCCGCGGUUCUCCGCGGCCGCCCCCCUCCCCGGGGGGUGGCCAGCGCCCGCCAGAGGACCAUCAAACUCCAGUCAGUAAACGAUGCAGUCUGAAAAACAUUUAAUAAACUAAAACUUUCAACAACGGAUCUCUUGGUUCUGGCAUCGAUGAAGAACGCAGCGAAAUGCGAUAAGUAAUGUGAAUUGCAGAAUUCAGUGAAUCAUCGAAUCUUUGAACGCACAUUGCGCCCUUUGGUAUUCCGAAGGGCAUGCCUGUUCGAGCGUCAUUACAACCCUCAAGCUCUGCUUGGUAUUGGGCACCGUCCUUUGCGGGCGCGCCUCAAAGACCUCGGCGGUGGCGUCUUGCCUCAAGCGUAGUAGAACAUACAUCUCGCUUCGGAGCGCAGGGCGUCGCCCGCCGGACGAACCUUCUGAACUUUUCUCAAGGUUGACCUCGGAU